GGUGGUUUUAGCUCAGUUGGUUAGAGCGUCUGAUUGUGGUUCAGAAGGUCGCCGGUUCGAGACCGGUAUCCCACCC
Molecule: transfer RNA, 76 nt
Filed under: Breznakibacter sp.
Lineage: Bacteria; Pseudomonadati; Bacteroidota; Bacteroidia; Marinilabiliales; Marinilabiliaceae
Description: tRNA-His
Rfam family: tRNA
About the family: Transfer RNA (tRNA) molecules are approximately 80 nucleotides in length. Their secondary structure includes four short double-helical elements and three loops (D, anti-codon, and T loops).
Source: RNAcentral